Molecule: long non-coding RNA, 213 nt
Filed under: Panax ginseng (ginseng)
Lineage: Eukaryota; Viridiplantae; Streptophyta; Magnoliopsida; Apiales; Araliaceae
Description: long non-coding RNA (PGIN_LNC011927)
Source: RNAcentral
GUCAUUCUCUCUUCAUUAUCCAUCAAGUGGGACGCAAACCGGGAUAACUCCGUAAAUUUAGCCUCGUAUUGCGACACGGUCAUAUUGUUUUGUUCCAACUUGAUAAACUACACCUCCUUCAUGUGACGAAUACUUUCGGGAAAGUAUUUGUCGUUGAACAGCUCUUGGAACUUCUCCCAAGACAUCUUCAGUACGGCAGGUUGAGUACGUUUU